UGCACUUUCCUUCACGAUGAACAAUAUCGCUGUCACGGCUCGAUUUUUUGAGUCAUGAUGAGUAGGUAAGCCAAUCCGUAACUCGAAACAAGAAGUAAUAGGUAUGAGGGCAGAAACUAAACAAGAGUAGGCAAAGUUUAAAAUAACAAUAUAAACAGGGAGAAGCAAACCAAAAUAUAUAUAUACAAUAAAAAUCUCUUUCAGAACCUGAAAGUCACUAGUAAAAAGCUACUAACAAAACGAGUACAAGUCCCAAAAGUGGAGCACAGAAACUGGGUCAUCUCGAAAGGCAAAAGACAAGUCUAUAUAUAUGGAUGGAGACUUAAAUUGUAUAAAACACCAUGUGCUCACCCCAUCUAAAACACCAUGUGCUCACCCUAUCUCCGGAUUAGACUGCUCCAAGCUCGAUAUUAAUGCUGGCCUCUGUUUCUCGGACCUGUAUCACGAGAGCAGAUGCAUAGCGUAGUAUGAGUACAAAAAAAUAGGUACCCAUUAGCCUCAUAGGCCGACUGAACUUUUUGAACUUGAAAAGUAAAGAUAAUAUAAAAAUAAGGAAUAACAAAAUUAAAGGUCAAUGAAAGUCUAAGUAAACAAUGGAAUGCACACGAGUGUAGAAAGAACUAACUAAAGUAUUCUAUAAGCUAACUACGCCCUCAUAACCCCAGAAGGUAUACUCGUGUGAAUGUUUAAAUAAACACCCGAACGGAUCCCAUAAGCCCGACGAGUACAUAUUAUAAUUACAACUAAAGAAAACUGCAUCUGAGAACCUAAGACCAGAGAAGACUAAACCAAAACCUCAACCCUAACUAGUAGAAUCUGACAGUAGGCCAGACCUCAAACCCGAUGUUGACUAGAAUUACUGAAUCACAAGUAUCAAGUAAGUAAGGUCGGACCUUUAACCGGAUGCUCUAUAUAAGUAUCUUGGUGAUCGUUUAAAUCGAAUGCUCUUCGAAAAUAUCAAUGAGGUCGAGGCUGGAGCUUGGAUCUGGAUGCCCGACAAAUGUGCCAAUGUACCUGCUGAAAGAGUCCCUCCCUCUAGUCUAGGACCGGUUGUUGCUGCCCUGGAAGCGUGCCCUAUUAUCGCUGCACCCUAUUAUCUCACCAAUAAUAAAUUUUGAAAUUUAAAAUAAAAUUAUUCCUAAAUAUAAAAUAUAUUAUACUUAUUA
Molecule: long non-coding RNA, 1166 nt
Filed under: Solanum lycopersicum (tomato)
Lineage: Eukaryota; Viridiplantae; Streptophyta; Magnoliopsida; Solanales; Solanaceae
Description: long non-coding RNA (SLYC_LNC001349)
Source: RNAcentral